Cryptomeria japonica (Japanese cedar) is the source of this 423-nucleotide long non-coding RNA. RefSeq lists it as uncharacterized. The record is from RefSeq and is a predicted model, not a curated record. Lineage: Eukaryota; Viridiplantae; Streptophyta; Pinopsida; Cupressales; Cupressaceae. The transcript is spliced from 3 exons.
GUACAGCAACCUUUUAUGGUCCCCCAUAUGUCCCAACUUCAUGCUAUGGAUACGAUCAGAGGCAAUUUCCAGCAGGCAAUCUUUUUGGAGCGGCUAAUGACGCAAUUUGGGACAACCAGGCUGCCUGUGGAAGGAAGUACAGAAUAAGAUGUUUGAGCGGAACGAGUAAUGAAAGAGUUAAUCCAUGCAGAGAAAGAUCACUUGUCAUAAAGAUUCUGGAUUACUGCUCUUCCUCUGCCUGUGAUAAUGGCGAUGCAACUUUCCAUUUAUCUGCCGAUGCGUUUUCUCACAUUGCUCAUUCCUCUGCCAACAAAAUUAACGUCGAAUAUGAGCAAGUGUGACGCAUCAGACUUGGUCCAGAGGUUCCAAAGAUUAGAAAUAUUACGAUUACUACGUUUUUAUAAUGUCGUUCUACAUUAUUUU